RNAcentral lists this long non-coding RNA (283 nucleotides) under Musa acuminata (dwarf banana). RNAcentral's name for it is "long non-coding RNA (MACU_LNC011678)". Lineage: Eukaryota; Viridiplantae; Streptophyta; Magnoliopsida; Zingiberales; Musaceae. The record is from RNAcentral.
CGCAAAGAAGAUCGUCGUGAAGUCCAAGAGCUUGUUGGGAGUCCGUUGGAAUAUUGCCCGAGAGUUCGUCGGAAGUUCACCGAAAGAUCACCGGAAGCUCGCCGGAAGAAACCAAGACAUAAGGACUUGUUUAGCUUAGUAAAUGUCUUAGAUUUCGUAGUUAGCACCUAAUUAGAUUUCUUAAUAAUCUCAUAACCCUUGGGCAUCCAAUGAUAACACACUAAAAAAAUGAUAUUUUUAAACUGUAUAAAGUCCUUGACCUUCAUACUGCCACAAAAUCCUU